This 593-nucleotide ribosomal RNA is filed under the name Hyphodontia aff. alutaria UC2023078. Its description in RNAcentral is "eukaryotic LSU rRNA". The record is from RNAcentral. Lineage: Eukaryota; Fungi; Basidiomycota; Agaricomycetes; Hymenochaetales; Schizoporaceae.
UGCGGAAGGAUCAUUAUCGAGUUUGAAGUGGGCCUUUGAGCUCUCGUACGUGCUCGGGCCCCGCUCCAAUCCACUCAACCCCUGGGCMCUUUCSSCSYUGCGGGUCACUGUUAACGCAGUCUCGUGGCUUCGUCUCUUAUCACAAACCAUUUAUUACAUGUCUUGUAGAACGUGGAUSCCUGUAAAGGCGGAAACUCAAUACAACUUUCAACAACGGAUCUCUUGGCUCUCGCAUCGAUGAAGAACGCAGCGAAAUGCGAUAAGUAAUGUGAAUUGCAGAAUUCAGUGAAUCAUCGAAUCUUUGAACGCACCUUGCGCUCCUGGACUUGUUUCAGGAGCAUGCCUGUUUGAGUGUCAUGAAAUCAUCAACCACGUUGCUUUAGUGCSCCGUGGCUUGGACUUGGGGAUUUGCGGGCGCGUUCUAGCGUCGGCUUCCCUUGAAUGCAUUAGUCGGGUGCCCUUUGCUCGAGAAGUGUGAUAAUUAUCAUUCACUGAUCGACGAGGGACCUUGUCUCGGCUUCUAACCGCAUGCUUGCAUGCAUCUUUGACACAUCUGACCUCAAAUCAGGUAGGACUACCCGCUGAACUUAAGC